Molecule: ribosomal RNA, 497 nt
Filed under: uncultured bacterium
Lineage: Bacteria
Description: partial 16S ribosomal RNA
Rfam family: Bacterial small subunit ribosomal RNA
Source: RNAcentral
GAUGAACGCUGGCGGCGUGCCUAAUACAUGCAAGUCGAGCGAACGGACGAGAAGCUUGCUUCUCUGAUGUUAGCGGCGGACGGGUGAGUAACACGUGGAUAACCUACCUAUAAGACUGGGAUAACUUCGGGAAACCGGAGCUAAUACCGGAUAAUAUUUUGAACCGCAUGGUUCAAAAGUGAAAGACGGUCUUGCUGUCACUUAUGGAUGGAUCCGCGCUGCAUUAGCUAGUUGGUAAGGUAACGGCUUACCAAGGCAACGAUGCAUAGCCGACCUGAGAGGGUGAUCGGCCACACUGGAACUGAGACACGGUCCAGACUCCUACGGGAGGCAGCAGUAGGGAAUCUUCCGCAAAGGGCGAAAGCCUGACGGAGCAACGCCGCGUGAGUGAUGAAGGUCUUCGGAUCGUAAAACUCUGUUAUUAGGGAAGAACAUAUGAGUAAGUAACUGUGCACAUCUUGACGGUACCUAAUCAGAAAGCCACGGCUAACUACGUG